GGCCUACACAUGCAAGUCGAACGGUAACAGGAAGCAGCUUGCUGCUUUGCUGACGAGUGGCGGACGGGUGAGUAAUGUCUGGGAAACUGCCUGAUGGAGGGGGAUAACUACUGGAAACGGUAGCUAAUACCGCAUAACGUCGCAAGACCAAAGAGGGGGACCUUCGGGCCUCUUGCCAUCGGAUGUGCCCAGAUGGGAUUAGCUAGUAGGUGGGGUAACGGCUCACCUAGGCGACGAUCCCUAGCUGGUCUGAGAGGAUGACCAGCCACACUGGAACUGAGACACGGUCCAGACUCCUACGGGAGGCAGCAGUGGGGAAUAUUGCACAAUGGGCGCAAGCCUGAUGCAGCCAUGCCGCGUGUAUGAAGAAGGCCUUCGGGUUGUAAAGUACUUUCAGCGGGGAGGAAGGUGUUGAGGUU
RNAcentral lists this ribosomal RNA (419 nucleotides) under uncultured bacterium. RNAcentral's name for it is "bacterial SSU rRNA". It matches the Rfam family "Bacterial small subunit ribosomal RNA", at positions 45 to 461 of the family's 1533-position model. The record is from RNAcentral.